This 451-nucleotide ribosomal RNA is filed under the name uncultured bacterium. RNAcentral describes it as "bacterial SSU rRNA". It matches the Rfam family "Bacterial small subunit ribosomal RNA", at positions 354 to 796 of the family's 1533-position model. The record is from RNAcentral.
GUGGGGAAUAUUGCGCAAUGGGCGAAAGCCUGACGCAGCAACGCCGCGUGGGUGAGGAAGGCCUUCGGGUUGUAAAGCCCUGUCAGGUGGAACGAAUCCACCUCGAGCGAAUACCUCGAGAGAUUGACGGUACCACCAAAGGAAGCCCCGGCAAACUACGUGCCAGCAGCCGCGGUAAUACGUAGGGGGCGAGCGUUGUUCGGAAUUACUGGGCGUAAAGAGCGCGUAGGCGGUCAGGUAAGUCAAGCGUGAAAUCCCUCGGCUCAACUGAGGUUUGGCGCUUGAAACUAUCUAACUUGAGUUUAGGAGAGGAGAGUGGAAUUCCCAGUGUAGCGGUGAAAUGCGUAGAUAUUGGGAGGAACACCUGUGGCGAAGGCGGCUCUCUGGACUAAUACUGACGCUGAGGUGCGAAAGCUAGGGGAGCAAACGGGAUUAGAAACCCUAGUAGUCC